CCUACGGGGAGCAGCAGUCGAGAAUCAUUCACAAUGGGGGAAACCCUGAUGGUGCGACGCCGCGUGGGGGAAUGAAGGUCUUCGGAUUGUAAACCCCUGUCAUGUGGGAGCAAAUUAAAAAGAUAGUACCACAAGAGGAAGAGACAGCUAACUCUGUGCAAGCAGCCGCGGUAAUACAGGGGUCUCAAGCGUUGUUCGGAAUCACUGGGCGUAAAGCGUGCGUAGGCUGUUUCGUAAGUCGUGUGUGAAAGGGGCGGGCUCAACCCGCGGACAGCACAUGAUACUGCGAGACUAGAGUAAUGGAGGGGGAACCGGAAUUCUCGGUGUAGCAGUGAAAUGCGUAGAUAUCGAGAGGAACACUCGUGGCGAAGGCGGGUUCCUGGACAUUAACUGACGCUGAGGCACGAAGGCCAGGGGAGCGAAAGGGAUUAGAUACCCCUGUAGUC
This 446-nucleotide ribosomal RNA is filed under the name uncultured bacterium. RNAcentral describes it as "partial 16S ribosomal RNA". It matches the Rfam family "Bacterial small subunit ribosomal RNA", at positions 338 to 795 of the family's 1533-position model. The record is from RNAcentral.